UACGUAGGGGGCAAGCGUUGUCCGGAUUUAUUGGGCGUAAAGAGCGUGUAGGCGGUUUGGUAGGUCCGCUGUGAAAACUCGAGCUCAACCUCGAGACGCCGGUGGAAACCAUCAGACUAGAGUCCGGAAGAGGAGAGUGGAAUUCCUGGUGUAGCGGUGAAAUGCGCAGAUAUCAGGAGGAACACCGGUGGCGAAGGCGGGUCUCUGGGCCGAUACUGACGCUGGAGGAGCGAAAGCCGUGGGGAGC
RNAcentral lists this ribosomal RNA (247 nucleotides) under uncultured bacterium. RNAcentral describes it as "partial 16S ribosomal RNA". It matches the Rfam family "Bacterial small subunit ribosomal RNA", at positions 524 to 769 of the family's 1533-position model. The record is from RNAcentral.